This is a long non-coding RNA of Helianthus annuus (common sunflower), 467 nucleotides long. RefSeq lists it as uncharacterized. The record is from RefSeq and is a predicted model, not a curated record. The transcript is spliced from 3 exons. NCBI's taxonomy places the organism in Eukaryota, Viridiplantae, Streptophyta, Magnoliopsida, Asterales, Asteraceae.
AGUUACCAGAAGAGUUGAGCAGAAUACAUAAUACGCUCUACGUUUCACAUCCAAGAAAGUGUUUAGUAGAUGAUAUGGCUUAUGUUCCUUUCGGUGAUAUAGAAAUUGAUAACAAACUCAAUUAUAUAGCAAAUCCUAUUGCAAUCCUCGACCAUAAGGUUAAGGGUUUAAGGAAACAAAGAAAUUGACCAAGUAAAGGUCAAAUGGGAGCACCAAAAAAGGAUCAGACACCAUUUGGGAGUCUGAAGAGGGAAUGAGGCAACUCGGGUGAAGCUUCGGGGAGUCAAGCUGGGGCAAAUACAAGGUUGAAGGAAAACCCAUAAGUUUUUAGGUAAUGCAAGCUCAUGGAUGAGGGUCAAGUCAAUGCUUCCGAACCGAACACAUCCAAAAUCUCAUUCCGCAACUUUUGCCAUUGUUAGUUGUUAAUGAAUCUAUGUAGUCGAAGGAACUAUAAUGUUGUUUUUAAA